Molecule: long non-coding RNA, 3105 nt
Filed under: Gossypium raimondii (Peruvian cotton)
Lineage: Eukaryota; Viridiplantae; Streptophyta; Magnoliopsida; Malvales; Malvaceae
Description: long non-coding RNA (GRAI_LNC000404)
Source: RNAcentral
GAAUAAUCUUUGUUAUCUUGAAUCCUUGGGCAACGGAGUAAAGUCACAAAUUCUUCCAUCGCCCUUCUUGUGUUUCUAGGAAUAUAUUCAGGCAACCGUAUUAUUUUCCAUUUUAUCAAGAAAUCCAUUUUCUUAUGACAAGCUUUCUAAGUUAGUAAUCGAAUGUGAAUCAACACCUCUUUUAAUGAAAUGUCAUGUCAUGCAAUAAAACACGAAAAGUCAGUACCAUAUUUAAACAUUGAAAGCAAUCAAGAAAUAGUAGAAACACCUAUUCGGGCAUCUACUAGGGUUCAGUGUAGCUCUGCCUAGUGUGGAUUCCUAAAGUUCACUAUAUGAGGUUUGGCUUCUAGAGCAAAGGUACCCGAACCAGCAGAUUCCUCGAUCCUCACCCAUUAUAGGCUCAUAUGAAUCGAGUUCAGUUCAGGGGAAUACAUUUUCCUAUGGCUGCACGGAGAUGAAAAUCUCACGAAGACAUAGGUACGGAUGUAUCCCGAAAGUGGUCCACUACCCUGCACGGAGGUGAAAACCUCACGAAGAACUAGUUUCUCGCUCCCACUUAAAAGAGUAAAAUUAUUCGACUCAUGUAAUGUGUAAUGCAAACAAUACUUAAAUCCAUUAAGCAAGAAAUAAUGAAUGCAACAGGAUACCAUGAAAUUUUAAAAAAAAAAUUCUCGACCAUAAGACAAGAAUUAAUCAACUUUGUGGCUCGACUCUCUUUUUUAAAAAAGUCCCUAGUAGAGUCACCAAGCUGUCGAAACCAACUUUUAUUUUGAAAAAACAAAAAUUAGUUGUCGAUGAAAAUUUGGAGUCGCCACCAAUCUUUUAUUAAGGUGUGAUUGGACCACCUAAAAAUGACAUUGGUCUACGAGUUUUAGAAAAACAGGUUCGGGAGUCAGUUACGUUCGAGGAAGGAUUAGCACCCUCGUAACGCCCAAAAAUUGGUACAAAAUUGAUUAAUUAAUGUCUUAAAGUCGAGAGUUAAAAAAAUGUGAUCCUUAUUUAAAUAUUAUUAUUUAUUGAGACUCACCCAUUUUGAAAAAGAAAACGUCACACCCAAUGCGUUAGGGCACGACAUUUUAUUUCUUCAAAAAUGAGUUUGUCCAAAAUACUCGUGUAAUAAAAUUUAAGAGAAUAUUCAUUUAUUUAAAAUUUAUAAGGAAAUCGUGACCCAAUACGUUAUACGUUAGGGCACAAUUUCUCAAAAUUCUAAACAUUGAAUAUUUUAUUUUAUUGUUUUUUUUAGAAAAAUCUUUAUCUCGAGAAAUCAACGCGUCACAUCCAAUACGUUAGGACACCACAUGUUGAAUUCCCGAUGACAAUUUUUAUUUUGUUUGAUUAAAGAGCAAUUCCCGAUUGUUAGAUUUUACGAAGAAAAUCAGAACCCAAUACGUUAGGGCUCAAUUUUCUUGAAAAUCCUAAAUACGAGUAUUAUCUCUAUUUUGAAAUUUUUCUAUUUUUAAACUCGAAUAAAAAAUGUAAUGUUAUAUUGGAUGUAUGUAUAAAUGUAGCAAUAACAAAUAAUAAAUACAACAACGAUAUAGAAAGAACAUAAAGAGCAAAUAAACGAAAUUAAAAAAACAAUGAAAUACGAAAUAUCUAAUAAAUGAACAAAAAUAAAUAAUAAUAAAAAAAAUAUCCUUUAGAAAAUAAAUGAAAAUACAAAUAAAUAAACGAGUGAAAGAAAUAAACAAAAUUAUAAAAUAAAAAUAAAAUAAAAAAUAGAAUAUAAAGUGUGUAUAUAAUAUGUAUAUUGAAAUUAUGAAGAAAAAAAAACAUGGAUUUACAUAUAAAAUUUGGGAUUAUAGAAUUUAAAUAACAAAAUAUAUAAUGUAUUUCUGAAAAUAAAGAAAAAAAUAUAAAAAUAUAUAUAUAAAUUAUAAAAUUUGUGUCAAAAAUAUAAGUAGGUAGUUAAACCGUUUUGGAAAUAAAAUAAAAUAUAGAUGUAUGCGUACAUAUAUAUAAAUAUAAUAAUCAUUAGAAAAAAUAAAUAUAUAUACAUGUACACGUAAAAUAUAUUAAAAAUAAUUAAAUAAUAUCUACAGUAUCAAAAUUAAUUAAAUACAAAAAAAUAAACAUGUGUACAUGAGAAAAAUAUUAAUUAGAAACAUACAUAUGUGCAUAUAUAUAUAAAUAUAAAAAAUAUUCAUUAGAAACAAUAUACGAAUCAAUAAAUAAAUUAUACACAAAUCAACAAAAUAAGAACAAGCUACAGAAAAUAAGAACGCAAGAGAGAGAAAUUUGAGUAAAUACUCUUAAAAAUUAUUAUUACUCCCCAACUCCCCCCUUUACAAUGAAGGGAGAGGCAUCUAUUUAUAGUUGAGCCUCCCCAAAUCCAGCGGUACAGAUUAAUUACAUCAACGGCUAAGAUUAAAAGGUAUCUACAAAUUAAAUCUCUAAUAUUACAAAAUCAUAUAUUUUAAGAUUGCAUAUCAUAUCUAAGAUUACAUAUCAUAUCUAAGAUUGCAUAUUAUAUCUAAGAUUACAUAUCAUAUCUAAGAUUGCAUUUCCUUGAAGAUUAUGUUUCAAUAUGCAUCAUGCUUGUAGAUAGACCUUCAACCUUUUCAAGUAAUGGGCCAUCCCGAUCGAGCCAAAUGAUAUAAUUUUAGACUUUAUUUUAUUAUUUUGAGUUUAUUAUUUUCUUAUGAGCCCGGGCUAAAUUGGCCUAUUACAUAUCAUACGCAAACAUUUAACCAUAUAUUAAUAAUUAAACUUUCCAAAAAUUUUCAAAGCAAUCAAUAUCAAAUAACAAUCUAAGAGGAUUGAGAAACACCAUUUCUUACUUUAUUGAAGCUUUCUCUCUUUACCUUCAAUUUUAUCUGUUAAGACUCAAACCAAACCUUUGCUGAAAGUGGAGAGAUUUAAGGUGGAAAUGAGUUUUGGAGAUGAGUUUAUUAGUGAUUUUGACAAAAACUCAAGAUUUGAGCAGUGGGUUUUAAAGCGAUUUCAAGAAAAAGCAAGAAAAUUAAAGAGAAGAAGACAGACUCCAUGGGAUGGGGGGUGGUCAUGCAACAAGUUGAUGGAGAUGAGUUUUUCAUUUUUUCAAGAAAAUUAAAGAGAAGAAGACAGACUCCAUGGGAUGGGGGGUGGUCAUGCAACAAGUUGAUG